GGGGUGCUCGAGUGGCGAACGGGUGGGUAACACGUGAGUAACCUGCCCUUGACUUUGGGAUAACUUCAGGAAACUGGGGCUAAUACCGGAUAGGAGCUCCUGCUGCAUGGUGGGGGUUGGAAAGUUUCGGCGGUUGGGGAUGGACUCGCGGCUUAUCAGCUUGUUGGUGGGGUAGUGGCUUACCAAGGCUUUGACGGGUAGCCGGCCUGAGAGGGUGACCGGCCACAUUGGGACUGAGAUACGGCCCAG
RNAcentral lists this ribosomal RNA (249 nucleotides) under uncultured Actinomycetales bacterium. RNAcentral's name for it is "partial 16S ribosomal RNA". It matches the Rfam family "Bacterial small subunit ribosomal RNA", at positions 84 to 334 of the family's 1533-position model. The record is from RNAcentral. Lineage: Bacteria; Bacillati; Actinomycetota; Actinomycetes; Actinomycetales.